Molecule: long non-coding RNA, 1046 nt
Filed under: Apteryx haastii (Great spotted kiwi)
Lineage: Eukaryota; Metazoa; Chordata; Aves; Apterygiformes; Apterygidae
Description: lncRNA (ENSAHAG00000001463.1)
Source: RNAcentral
CCCAUAGAUAAGGGGUUUGUGUCAGUAGCUGCAUGAAUUCCUGUUAAAACAGAAAUAAAAUCCCAUCAAAGUCCUGGAGGUGAGGUUGUGGUUAAACAUCCAGCUCAGGGAUCAGUCUGGGUGACUGCUCUUUUCCCAUGGAAAAGGAGCAUGGGAUGCUGUAGACACUGAAGGCAGUAAGUUAACUGUAAGCGAGGCCUGGGUUAUGUCCAAGACCUGGGUGUCUUCUCUUGCAGGGAGAUGGGGUGUUACCUGCUGACCGUGGGAACACUGAUAACUGGAAAAAAAAAAAAAAACCAGCCCCUGCUGACAGCACACGAGUCCAGUUUCAAAGUGCACAGCUCCAAACUUCUCACCCUUUCUCAGGGCACCUCAGGGAGCUCUCCACAAAACCCUUCUAGACAGGGCUCUUUUCAGAUGCCCACAUACAGCCUCCCACCACCAUCUCCAUACUCGCAGCAUCUCUGCACCGUCCUCAUGGGUCUCUCAGAUAUCACAGAGGUGCUAUGAGACAGCAGUGCCUUUCUAGAGGGCAGCACGCAUUCUGCCAGGACACUAUAAGGAAACGGUCAAAGGACUGUUAGGACUGGAGAUGGGUUCUCCUUAAAGGAGAGUCAGCUCAUUUCGGAGCCCCAUGGACUGCAUUUCCUGGAGCUCCACAAGUCAGAAGGGGGCUGGGGCAGCCUCAUUCCCAUGCAGAUCCCUCUGCAGCACAACUUGCAGCAUCCAUGUCUGAACUGCAGCUGAACUGCCCCCCCCCCCGCCCCCCGCCCCAAAGCCAGAGAGCCCGAGAACAAGAACAGGAGCAGCAUGGACAGGAGGGGAAACAAGGAGCAACACCAUGAUCCAUGAUCCUUCUGCCAAGGGAGGCAAGAAGGGAGAGACAGAUGGGAAUUCAGGAAAGCCUUCACCAUACCAGCUAGGCAUGCCGCCUCGCAGGCAGGGGCAUCGCAGGGCAGUCACUCUCAGUCCCUUUGUCAGGCACCUCUCCUCUGCCAGAGGGCUGGCUUCAGAGAAGGCAGCUCAUGCCCUGGACCCCAUGGCUG